RNAcentral lists this long non-coding RNA (2847 nucleotides) under Mus musculus (house mouse). RNAcentral's name for it is "long non-coding RNA chr4:102586640-102589487". The record is from RNAcentral. Lineage: Eukaryota; Metazoa; Chordata; Mammalia; Rodentia; Muridae.
UUAUUUCUAGGUAGACUCUAACAGGGCUUUCUUGUGAGGACAGAUUAUUAAAGAAAAAAUAAGAUAUGUGUACAGGAGACACGGGAACUCAUUUAUCUUUGAAAUAGCACCUUCCAAUUUGUGGAUUCUCCACUGCAUUUGAUGAAGUAAAUAAAUCCAUUCCCUUCCAACUCCACAAGUCCUUGGGCCAUAGUUUCACUCUGGAUCCAUUUUACCUUCAUAUUGAGACAACUAACUGGGUAAGUCCACAGGAAGGCUCCAAGCGACUCAGGCUGUGGAGGUCUGAGUUACGACUAAUAUGUGUCUCCUUAGCCAGUGGUUUAUUCUUGCACACAGAGGCAUCUCCAGUUCCCUCUCUGCUUACCUCAGCAGUACAGAAAGAGUUUUCUUUUCCGAGAGGAGCUAGUUGCUAGUAAAUACUGCACCCAAACUGUAGGAGGCUGCCCUAGAAUCUACCACACAAUCAUGAGAGGUUGGGGCAGAGAGGUGGGUUAGAAGUCCUGUCUCAUUCCUGUUUCACAGAAGAAAGAUGGGGUGAUGUCCCAAGGCCAGCUCUAAAGACUGAUAAUCCAUGUUGAGGCUUGAUUGCUGUGUCAUGGCUACCUAUAACUUGCCAGAUUCAGAUUCUGAAAACCCAUCUAUCCUGAGUUCCUCAACUGUCCAUCAGCUGGCACCUUAACAUAUCAAUUCCAGUCCUUGGCUAGUCCAGGCACCAGGGCUAGCCCUACCUUUACUAAUCAGACUUUGUCUUGUUAGAAGGCCACAUCUGCCUUUCUUAGUCUUUCAGAGCCCCCAAACAAGUGGGCCCUUCAUAAUUUUUUUUUAAAUGAGAGCAAUGAUUGCCCUAGUCAGUGUGGUGGGGCCCUCCCUUGCUGAGGAAAACCAGUGGUGGUUGCUAAGCAACAUUUAGAAGGUCUAGAUUGGUUUCUGAUCCUGGAUGACCUCCAUUUGUGUACUUCGCCAUGUGUAUUUUAUGGCUACCUUUGGAUGACUUUGGACAACUUUGUUUUUGGUAUGCAUUGGCCUGCCCUUAGUAAUAGGAUCACAGGAGAAUUCAUUUAGGCGUGGAUAUAAGGGAGAUGGUAUUCCUCUGUUUACUUGCAUGAGCACACUGACCCCUUCUGUAAAGAUACAGAAGGUGUGUAGUUUACUUAGCCCCAUGGCUAAAAACCACCAUCCUCUACCACACAGACUGAUGAACCGCGAAUCCCAACAGGUUUCUAUGACAAAGAAAAGUUAUAUGAAGGACAGAGGGGAAACAAAGUAUCUUGCCAUAUAUGAUUCAUUUUUGGCCUGCUCUCGUCUCCUGAACAGAGCAGCCAACCAAACCACUAAAUAGUCCUCCUUACCCUCUUCAGACUGUUAAAUGAGGAUUAGUGGGUGGAUCCUAGUAGGUCUGACUCUUCUUCUAGAAUGAAAGUUGAUUGAAACCCUAAGAGAACUUGUGUUUGCUCUUUUGCUUGCUUUUUCCCCAACUGCUUUGCAUGGCCAUUUGAGGUGUCCCAUUGGUGUUUGUUGAAAACAUGACAGAAUGGUUUGAUUGAGGUGGGACAGUCCUAGUGGACUCCAAAAUGUUUGCAAGUAUUUCAGAGAUAUCAAAGAAACCAAAAUGCCUGGCUAUUAUAUCUAUUAUAUUUGGCUAAAUUUUGUGCAGGGGGUGGGGUGGAGGAUUAGAUACGAGAUCAUUAGUCUCUAAGCUUUUAUGUAAGAUAUGUUUACUGUAGUUUAAAGUUUGUUACUUUGCGAAACACUAGCAGACCAAUCAGUACUCAUUAAGCUGUCUUUCCCAACUUCCCAGUCUUCAGUAAGAGCUAGUUUCAUGGCUUGGAGAGGCCAUAGUGACAGGGUUAUAUCUUAACACAUAACUUGGAAUUUAUGCAAUUCACCUGGAGUUCAAAAUUGCACUGAGGUUCAACAUGUAGUCUAAAAGCAGAAAUGAUUGACCCAGAGGUGUCGGGCUACACUUGAAAACAUACACACAUACACAAGCAGGAAUACCCAGAAAGACAGUGGUUGUAUCUCUGAGGACAGUGGGAGGUACAGUGAGCCAACAGGCAGAGACUCAGGUUCAGCCUCGCUUCACCUCAAAAGGCAUCUCUCUGGGGAAGCAAUGGUUUGACCUGAGUCUUAGAUGCCUGAAGUGAAGCUAUUGUCAGAGGCAGGAUGCUCAUUUGGAAAGGGAAUUGCCUCACAGGAAAGAGAGCCAAUUACAAGUUCGGGCUGUUGCCAUGGUGCUUUGCUGAUCCUUCAACAUGCAAUACAGGAACUCCGAGGAAGGCUAGGAAAUAGGAUGUAGGGGAGGUGGGGAGAAAUGAAGUCAGCUAGGGCAAGGCAUCCCACUGCCUGCACUGUAAUGCUGACAAGAAGAGGCUGGCAGGGGAGCCAGGAAAAGAAUGUCAUUUUCAGCAUGUCCUGGGUUGCUAAAAUGAAACUAAAAUAAUUUAACUCUGAGACAUUUCUAGCAUGAAUUAUAAGACGUAACAGCCGUAAAAUAUCAAAUAAGCAUAACGCCAGAUAAAUCGUUGUUCAUGCAGCAAAUGCUAUCUCAGAUUUUCUAGCGUACUCCGGACCCUACACGGAAAGGUUAUGAAUUUAAUCCAUUUGCAGAAUAUGAUGUAAUAAGCAUAUUAAUGAACUUACUGAGUGCAGAAAAUUGCACACUGCAUAUGAAGUACUUUUUGAACCAAAUAAAUUAAUUCCAUCCCCAUUCAGUCCACGGGGAAAAGAGACUAAUGCAUCGGCACCCAGUUGGUGGGCAAAUAAUGUACCAAAAGCUGGUAGGAAAGAAAUUCUCCUACCCUGGAAGCCAAGUCAGAAAGCAGUUACAGUUCUAACCUUUUCCAAUUU